This 497-nucleotide ribosomal RNA is filed under the name uncultured bacterium. RNAcentral's name for it is "partial 16S ribosomal RNA". It matches the Rfam family "Bacterial small subunit ribosomal RNA", at positions 28 to 507 of the family's 1533-position model. The record is from RNAcentral.
GAUGAACGCUGGCGGCGUGCCUAAUACAUGCAAGUCGAGCGAACGGACGAGAAGCUUGCUUUUCUGAUGUUAGCGGCGGACGGGUGAGUAACACGUGGAUAACCUACCUAUAAGACUGGGAUAACUUCGGGAAACCGGAGCUAAUACCGGAUAAUAUUUUGAACCGCAUGGUUCAAAAGUGAAAGACGGUCUUGCUGUCACUUAUAGAUGGAUCCGCGCUGCAUUAGCUAGUUGGUAAGGUAACGGCUUACCAAGGUAACGAUGCAUAGCCGACCUGAGAGGGUGAUCGGCCACACUGGAACUGAGACACGGUCCAGACUCCUACGGGAGGCAGCAGUAGGGAAUCUUCCGCAAUGGGCGAAAGCCUGACGGAGCAACGCCGCGUGAGUGAUGAAGGUCUUUGGAUCGUAAAACUCUGUUAUUAGGGAAGAACAUAUGUGUAAGUAACUGUGCACAUCUUGACGGUACCUAAUCAGAAAGCCACGGCUAACUACGUG